Carassius auratus (goldfish) is the source of this 2994-nucleotide long non-coding RNA. Lineage: Eukaryota; Metazoa; Chordata; Actinopteri; Cypriniformes; Cyprinidae. The record is from Ensembl.
GUCAGGACAGAAGGAGGAGUUUAGCACAGACUCUAUACAGCUGAGUAGAUCUGAACAUCACACAACACUGUGUGGAGCAGCUGCUCUGUUUUUAGCUUGUUCUUACUAGAUCAGUGAGUGAACAUGUUGAUCUAUAUUGUUAUACUGCUGUCAUCAACUGAAGGUUGCGGAGCCUCAGAAGUCAUUACUCCAAAAAGAAACAGAGAAUUUGCUCUUGAGGGUGACAUUAAUGUGACACUCUCCUGUAACUACAGCGGUUCUGCUUUUGGUGUUCACUGGUAUCGUCAAUAUACAGGUUCACCACCACAGUUCCUCAUACUGGAAUAUUCAGGGGUAACAACUCCAGCUAAACCACCCAUUCCAGGAUUAACCAUCAAUCACAGAAAAACUGAAAGCCAUGUGGAUCUGAUCAUCUCCUCUGCUGCUGUAUCAGACUCUGCUCUGUACUACUGUGCUCUGGAGCCCACACUGACAGGAAAACAGACUGCACUGUACAAAAACCUCACAGUAUUUUGGGAAAGUAUUAAAGCAAGGAUUUUUCUACUGACAUUUUAUUAUUCAAUGUUCAUUAAAUACCCAGCUAACCAAUAAAUAAUAAAAACUCCUUCUUCAUGCUUUUAUGUCAUGAUUUAAACGUAUAAAAUGUAAUAUCCUGCCAUUUAAAGGUAAUUGUAAGCAACAUAAAUAUGUUUUCUGCAAAUCUGGAUAAUUAUUGCUAUAGGAUCCUCAUUUCAAGAUUAUCCCCUGAAAUGUCACUGAAAUAUGUUGUAACUUGUAAUUAAUUAAGUCUAUAUGUAUCUAUGUAAUACUACUUAUUUGAUUAAAUAUGUGGGACUGUGUUAUAAAUAACAGUCUUGUCUGUCAUAUAUUGUGUGAGAUGAGGGCUGAAUGUUGUCUGAGUAGGAGGAGUUCACACAUUGUGAAAUGCAUUAAGACUCUCAACAUUUCACAAACCUCAUUGGAUUAACAGAUGUUUCUAUGUGUCUCCUGUUCAAACCUGGUUAUUGUGCCAACAUGUAGAUUUUUUUAGUUGUAUUAUCAUCAGCUCAAGGUAUUGUUGCAUAUGCUGGACAUUUAAUUAGUACACUGUAAAAAAUAUUUUGAAGUUGUCAAUAGGAAAAAUAAUACUGGAGUAUUACUUCUCUUUUACAAUAAAAUAUUUUCAGUCUAAACACACACAUUUAGUUUUGUACUUUAAUGUAGUUCUUUUUUUAAGCAAAAGGGCCUGACUACUGUUUCUCAGAAGCCAAUAACAUACUGGUAUUUUCAUACAGUAGAUUUGAAAGAGGAUGCACAUUUAUUUCCUGGCUCUGUUUUUGAAUUUUAAAUGUAUGCUUUAAAUACAGGUUCCAGAGCAGCAGAAGUCAUCACACCAUUCAGUGAUUAUCAGUUUUCUGAUGAGGGUGAGAGUGUGACACUCUCUUGUAGCUACACUGGUUCUGUUCGAGGUCUUCACUGGUUUCGUGAAUACGUGGGUUCACCACCAAAGUUUCUCAUUAUGGAUUAUAAUGGGGCAGUUAUUAAAGCUGAUCCUCCAGUUGUUGGAGUCUCAAUCCAUCACAGAAAAGACAACAGUAGUGUGGAUCUGAAGAUCUGCUCUGCUGCUGUCACUGACUCCGCUCUGUACUACUGUGCUCUGGAGCCCACAGUGAAAGGAAAUCCACUGCAUGCUGUACAAAAAGCUGUUAUAUAAACUAAUGUCAAUAAAAAUAACUCAAACAUAUAUACCAUUUUAAAGCACACAGUAAAGCAACUGGAUAAAACAUGCUGUUCUGAACUCCAACAGAGGGGGGCAACAUUAUCUCACAAGCUUUUUUUUUUUUUACACCAAAUAAGCACCUGACAUCUAUAAGAAACAGCUGAAAGCACAGAACAUGUUUCAUAUUUCAUUAACCCACACACACAUUAUUCAUACACAACAGAAGUUCACUCAGUCUCAGUGCUUUCAGUCAACCAUCAGCUGCUCUCAUAUUUUCAUUCGUUUUAUAAAACCACAUUCAGCAGAAUUUGGAACUAAUAUAUCGGUACAGUAUGUUAAUAAUUAUUAUAAAACAAAUCAAUUUAAUAAGUACUAAAAAUUAAAAAUAUUAUCUUUAUAGUGGACUUCAGUUAAGAUGGAGGAGAGGAAGAUGAUACUCAUAAUGAUCAUCACAGUUUCAGGUAAAUAUACUUUUAAUCACAAUUACUUAUAUUUUAUGAAUCAAAUAAUUCAGUGAAAUAUAAUGUGCAUUUAUAUUAAACAAAAAAUUAAAUAAUGACAUUUAAAAAUAUGAUUCACAUUUCAGGUGGUUUUGCUGAUAGAAUUGGACCAAGAGAAGGAGACACUAAUAUAAUCAGAGAAGAAGGAGAGUCUGUGACACUGAGCUGCACAUAUGAAACAACCAGCGAUAAUAUUUGGCUCUACUGGUACAGACAAUAUCCAAACAGAGAACCAGAAUAUAUACUGUAUAAAGGCGCUCGAUCAUGGAGCAGUGAAGAGAAUAUACCAGAUGGGUUUCAGUCGACUACAUCCCAGACAUCCACUGAACUUACUAUUGUAAAAGCAGCUCUGUCAGAUUCUGCUCUUUAUUACUGUGCACUUCAAGUAGCCCAGUGAUGCAAAAUACAAGAGAAGCUUUACAAAAACUCACAUGAAAUUAAUGCUUUGAAGAGUCUUUAAUCAAUCAGUAUCAAACCACAUCAUGUUUUUAUAAACCACAAACAGCGAAUGUGGUAACAGCUGUGAAUUUAGAAGGUUAAAAUGUUGCAUAAGGACAUGUGAAAACAAUUUAGCAUGCAUUACAUGCAUUCUCAUGUCUCAUUACAUCUCUUUUCUCAUUUGCAUACGUUUCUAAUGGUCUAUAAUCAAUUCAAGUCUCAUGAAAAAACAACAACAAAACACUAAUUUAUAAUUGUUAAUUGUUCUUCAGAUGUUACUUUUGUGAAUGUCACACUAGUCCGAAUAAUAAAAAGGACCAAACAAUAAAAACCCAUUUAAAAAAAGGGGGAAACAAU